Molecule: long non-coding RNA, 929 nt
Filed under: Cricetulus griseus (Chinese hamster)
Lineage: Eukaryota; Metazoa; Chordata; Mammalia; Rodentia; Cricetidae
Description: lncRNA (ENSCGRG00015039385.1)
Source: RNAcentral
GUAUCUUUCUCUUGAUGGAUGAGCUGCUAUUACAUCUCUGAGAGACUAUUGAGAGCUUGGCUUCUCUUUCUAUCUAGCAGAAACAGCUCUAGGUCAGAAGAGAGCAUCAGAUGUUUGAACGGAGUUACCGACAGCUGUGAGCCACCUUGAGAGCUCUGGAAAUGAACUGGGUCCUCUGCAAGAACAGUUAUCUCUCCGGCUCCUGCUAAUGCUUCCUAAAAGUGCAGAUCGGUCUUGUUUCAGAGGGUCAGCAGUGUCAUUUGGCGGAUAGCAUACUGAAAGACACUACCCCAAGAAAAGCCUCUACAGUGUACAUGUCAGUGUCUGAUGUCUUCAUUUUCCCAUAAGAGCAAGAGUUAAGAUGGGGAAGGCAGAGAAAUCCAACUGAAGAAAGCUUUCAAAGUGGAUGGAGCAGAAAGCAUGAGCAGCAGCAUGUCAAGUUCAACCCAAGAACAACUUUGUCUGUGCUUUCACAACUAAAAUCCAAGACCAAAGCUAGUGCGGAUUUCCAGUCAGUGCUGUGCGCCAGCAGAAUGCUGUUGAUAUUCUUAUGGCUAAUGUGCCUCAAAGAGGAUCCCAUUAGUUUUCCGAACUGUAGAAUUCUCCACGGUUGACACUUUCUCACUGAACUCUCACGAUUGUUUGGUUUCAAAGUCUGUUGGGCUCAAGAUGCAUUUUGUUUUAAAUAAUCCUUCAUGAAAAAUUCAGCUUGCAGUCUGAUUUGAUUGAAACUCAGCCCGAGUUUGUUUUAUAAUGCAUUUGGACUGGGAAGCCUACGAGCAGUGAAUUAUUCAAGACAUACAGACAAAUGAGGGAUCUGUGCUCACACAUGGGGAGGGGUGAUCAAAAAAUAAGAAAAAUUUGACAUGUCUUGUUAUCUUAUUUUAUUUACCUUUAAAACUCCUCCAAAUAUUAGAGGAAAGAAACCA